UGCAGAGAUGCGGGAGUGCCUUCGGGAACUCUGAGACAGGUGCUGCAUGGCUGUCGUCAGCUCGUGUUGUGAAAUGUUGGGUUAAGUCCCGCAACGAGCGCAACCCUUAUCCUUUGUUGCCAGCGGUCCGGCCGGGAACUCAAAGGAGACUGCCGGUGAUAAACCGGAGGAAGGUGGGGAUGACGUCAAGUCAUCAUGGCCCUUACGACCAGGGCUACACACGUGCUACAAUGGCGCAUACAAAGAGAAGCGACCUCGCGAGAGCAAGCGGACCUCAUAAAGUGCGUCGUAGUCCGGAUUGGAGUCUGCAACUCGACUCCAUGAAGUCGGAAUCGCUAGUAAUCGUGGAUCAGAAUGCCACGGUGAAUACGUUCCCGGGCCUUGUACACACCGCCCGUCACACCAUGGGAGUGGGUUGCAAAAGAAGUAGGUAGCUUAACCUUCGGGAGGGCGCUUACCACUUUGUGAUUCAUGACUGGGGUGAAGUCGUAACAAGGUAACCGUAGGGGAACCUGCGGUUGGAUCACCUCCUUA
This 534-nucleotide ribosomal RNA is filed under the name Cronobacter sakazakii. RNAcentral's name for it is "bacterial SSU rRNA". It matches the Rfam family "Bacterial small subunit ribosomal RNA", at positions 999 to 1533 of the family's 1533-position model. Lineage: Bacteria; Pseudomonadati; Pseudomonadota; Gammaproteobacteria; Enterobacterales; Enterobacteriaceae. The record is from RNAcentral.